Molecule: ribosomal RNA, 448 nt
Filed under: uncultured bacterium
Lineage: Bacteria
Description: bacterial SSU rRNA
Rfam family: Bacterial small subunit ribosomal RNA
Source: RNAcentral
GAUGAACGCUGGCGGCGUGCUUAACACAUGCAAGUCGAGCGAAGCACCUUGACGGAUUUCUUCGGAUUGAAGCCUUGGUGACUGAGCGGCGGACGGGUGAGUAACGCGUGGGUAACCUGCCUCAUACAGGGGGAUAACAGUUGGAAACGGCUGCUAAUACCGCAUAAGCGCACAGUACCGCAUGGUACGGUGUGAAAAACUCCGGUGGUAUGAGAUGGACCCGCGUCUGAUUAGGUAGUUGGUGGGGUAACGGCCUACCAAGCCGACGAUCAGUAGCCGACCUGAGAGGGUGACCGGCCACAUUGGGACUGAGACACGGCCCAAACUCCUACGGGAGGCAGCAGUGGGGAAUAUUGCACAAUGGGGGAAACCCUGAUGCAGCGACGCCGCGUGAGCGAUGAAGUAUUUCGGUAUGUAAAGCUCUAUCAGCAGGGAAGAAAAUGACGGU